AACGAACGCUGGCGGCAUGCCUAACACAUGCAAGUCGAACGAGACCUUCGGGUCUAGUGGCGCACGUGUGCGUAACGCGUGGGAAUCUGCCCUUGGGUUCGGAAUCACAGUUGGAAACGACUGCUAAUACAGGAUGAUGACGUACGGCCAAAGAUUUAUCGCUCAAGGAUGAGCCCGCGUAGGAUUAGCUAGUUGGUGAGGUAAAGGCUCACCAAGGCGAGGAUCCUUGGCUGGUCUGUGAGGAUGAUCAGCCACAAUGGGACUGAGACACGGCCUAGACUGCUACGGGAGGCAGCAGAGGGUAACAUUGGACAAGGGGCGAAAGCCUGAUACAGCAAUGCCGCGGGAGUGAUGAAGGCCUUAGGGUUGUAAUGCUGUUUUACCCGGGACGUGAAUGACAGUACCGGGAGAAUAAGCUCCGGCUAACUCCGUG
Molecule: ribosomal RNA, 433 nt
Filed under: uncultured bacterium
Lineage: Bacteria
Description: partial 16S ribosomal RNA
Rfam family: Bacterial small subunit ribosomal RNA
Source: RNAcentral